Molecule: long non-coding RNA, 1175 nt
Filed under: Lepisosteus oculatus (spotted gar)
Lineage: Eukaryota; Metazoa; Chordata; Actinopteri; Semionotiformes; Lepisosteidae
Description: lncRNA (ENSLOCG00000022670.1)
Source: RNAcentral
AUGUUGCAGAAGAAGUGGGGGGGAGCGGACACAACAGGGGCUUGCGGUCUUUCGGCGACAGCUGAGCGAUCCCGGGAGAUGAACUCGAACCCGGAGGUGCCUGCCCGAAUUCCCCCAGCAGCUCCGGCAGCUCCAAAUGUCCAUGGCCAGCAGUCUGGGGAGGAGAUCCCCGGGGACGCCGCCAGACAGCCAGAGGAGAAGGAGGCCAUGUGCUCACCAGGCCCGUUCGGUCGUCAGAAGUGCAUUGAUCCCAGGAUGUCCUCCUGCUGUGUAUUAAAGAAGUCAGGGUAUUGGCUUCAACAAUUUAGCUGGUUAGUUUGUUCCACACUCCCACCACCCUUUGUGUAAAGAAGUGCCCCCCCCCCCCGCUUGUUCACAGUCCUGCAGUCUGUUUUAUCUUCACUCUGUGCCAGGAGGGGCUCUACUUGUUGUAGUUCCCUGUAUUUUCUGUCCUAUGUUGGAUGUUUGUUUUUUGAAUGAUCAAAAAGCAAGAUCACCAGUAGGGGACAUCCUGAGUAAAGAAACAGUCUGGGCGGCGCGGUGCCGCACUGGUCAGCAUUGCUGACUCACAGCUGUGGGGUCCUGAAUUCAAUUCUUGGGGUACGGCGCAGAGUUUGGGUGUUCCAUCUGUGUGGAGUUUGCAUGUUCUCGUGGGUCUCCUCCCACAGUCUAAAGACCAUGUGGGUGGGUUAAUUGGCCCUGGUGUGAGCACGUGUGUGUGUCUCUCUGCCCGGUGAUGGACUGGUGUCCUGGAAGGGAUGUACACCCUAGCCGGCGUCCGUGCCUGCAGAAUCCUGGCAAGCCUGAAUUGAAAGAAGUGGGCAGAUGGGCAGUAGAAACAAUUUUGUUUCUUUACGUAGUGAUAUUAGGUGGUUAACAUUUUCAACCACCCACCACAAGACGUCACUGGUGCCGAUGAGUGCCAAAGUUUUGAGCUGACACGAGGGCUCGGGUUCAAGCUGGACAGCGACGGACUCAUCUUGACCCGAGAAGAUCUUUCUUUCGAUUUCUCUGUAUAUUUCCACCCUUUGUGCUUAAUUGCAUCUGUUCUGUUACUUCUGCAGCUCCUGUACGUCUAUAUAUGUACAUGCUGCAUGUGUAGAGCCGUCUGCGGAUGACAGAUUGUUCUUGACAAGCUCUCUUCUUGAUCCGUUCGAGGCUGGGGGACACAGGUG